GGUCAGUGCUUAACACGAGCUUGUUUUUCUCUUCCUUAGUUUUGCAGGUCAGCUGGCCUUGGCUGCAAGCUCUAGGUUGAAUCCAGGUCUGCUCCACACGUCUUGCAGCCCUUUGAGACCAGUGGCUGCCUGGAGCAUGCUCUUCUCAUAGUGAAUGGCAGGAGCUCAAGAGAAGCCCACCCAUGCAGGCACUCUGCUCACAUCACACCCAUUCAAGUUCUGUUGGCCAACGGAGAAAAUGAACUGAGUUGCAGUCAAUUAAAUAGAAGAGGAUCUGCUGAUUUGGGCGUUAACACUUCCAACCUGACUCAGCUCACUGAAUUAUUCAUCAAAAAUGUUCCACUGGUAGUUCCUCCUCUGUUGGAGUUUUGCAGUUCCAGAAACACUCUGCCCUGGAGUUGCAAUCAGAGCAAUUAGCAGCCCCUUCUGGGAGCCAGCUGGCCCGUACCCUCAGCUUCCCGACCUGGGCUGUGUGGAUGGAGAGCCAGCCCUGCCUGGAGUCUGAGUUUUCUGCAGGGGCCAACCUGAGCUGGAAACCCCACUGAACCCCUGCAGACUCCCCCUCCUCCUUUGCUGGGAUGAGCAGAUCAAGUAACCAUCCCCCCCGCAAGAGCUCAGGAGUUCUGCUAACGCCUCCCCUUGUCUGACUAGCUGAUUCCUUUGUGCCUCAGUUUCUUUGGCUCUAGAGUGGGAAGGACAGCCCUUGCCUGCUCGCCUUGCAGUGUCGUUGGUGCGGUAUGGGGCCCACCUUGGUCCCGAGCAAUGUCCGCUACCGGGAUUCCAAUGGACUCUGUCAACUGAGAGAAGGUUCCUGCAGAAGUCAGUUUGCCUGGAAGGAUGAUUUCUCUCCAAUAGGCAUUGCUGUUUCGUUAUAAGUGUAUUCCCGUUACACGACCUCCAUCUCUGGUGUCUCUCAUCUGCACAGACCCAUCCUUGUGGGUUUGCAUCUGUGUCCUGGUCAGAGCAGCGAGAAGAUGAAAUAGUCACACAACAGCGCUUUGCACAAAAUAGGCGAUAGCAUACUUCCCACCGUCAUAGACCUCUCUGGGCUUUUUGUCACUUUGGGGGUCCUGUGUGGUACUGUCAGCAGGAGGACUUCUCAGCAAGAGGACACCUGGGGCGCCAGCAUGAAGCUAUGACUCUGUGAUGCUGGGCCCCCCAACGCUUCUCCUUUGCCGCAAACCUGCAAACCACUUUUCUCCGGCAAACCGCAAUUUCUCCUUUGCCAGCAUCCCUGAUAGGCUCUGCCACCAGGGGGCACUAGAGAGACUGGAAGGCUGGUGGAGGAGGAUGCUUAUCCCUGUCUGCUUUCUGCUCCCGUGAGCAGUGCCUCACGAGGUUGCUUCUUCUCCCCGACCUCAGCAGCUCCUUCCCAAAGCAGCCACGAAAUCCACACCGCAGUCUUUCCAUUUUCCAUCUUGCAGAACUAGCUGUGCUGCUCACUCCCAGGCCAGAAACACUGCACAAGCCGUCUGGCAUCCCCUUCUCAGAGUCUGGGUCUCAGCCCCAGGGGCAGCCUCUGAGCACAGAGACGCCAGCACCAGCUGGCUGCCUCCUCCACCCCUCCACCCCCCCCUCCAAGAUACCUGUCAGGUCCUCCCUCCAAGCUUCUAAGUGUUUUAAGAAUUCCAGUGUUUUGCCUUGGUGCCCACCCAGCCCAAGGGGGAGGGAGCUGUUCCCUGCAGUUGCUACCUCUGUAAUACCUUAGAGUUCUCAUUACCUUUUUUUUUUUUUUUGGCCUCACUGAGCAGCUUGGGGGAUCUUAGUUCCCUGACCAGGGAUCGAACCUGUGCCCCAUGCAAUGGAAGCGCAGAGUCCUAACCACUGGACCGCCAGGGAAUUCCCUCCCUUCUUUUUUUUCUUUUUUUGCAGGCCUCUCACUGUUGUGGCCUCUCCCGUUGCAGAGCACAGGCUC
This is a long non-coding RNA of Lagenorhynchus albirostris (white-beaked dolphin), 1915 nucleotides long. RefSeq lists it as uncharacterized. The transcript has 3 exons. NCBI's taxonomy places the organism in Eukaryota, Metazoa, Chordata, Mammalia, Artiodactyla, Delphinidae. The record is from RefSeq and is a predicted model, not a curated record.